GACGAACGCUGGCGGCGUGCUUAACACAUGCAAGUCGAACGGAAAGGCCCUGCUUUUGUGGGGUGCUCGAGUGGCGAACGGGUGAGUAACACGUGAGUAACCUGCCCUUGACUUUGGGAUAACUUCAGGAAACUGGGGCUAAUACCGGAUAGGAGCUCCUGCUGCAUGGUGGGGGUUGGAAAGUUUCGGCGGUUGGGGAUGGACUCGCGGCUUAUCAGCUUGUUGGUGGGGUAGUGGCUUACCAAGGCUUUGACGGGUAGCCGGCCUGAGAGGGUGAACGGCCACAUUGGGACUGAGAUACGGCCCAGACUCCUACGGGAGGCAGCGGUGGAGAGUAUUGCACAGUGGGCGGGAGCCUGAUGCGGCAACGCCGCGUGCGGGAUGACGGCCUUCGGGUUGUAAACCGCUUUCGCCUGUGACGAAGCGUGAGUGACGGUAAUGGGUAAAGAAGCACCGGCUAACUACGUG
RNAcentral lists this ribosomal RNA (468 nucleotides) under uncultured bacterium. RNAcentral describes it as "partial 16S ribosomal RNA". It matches the Rfam family "Bacterial small subunit ribosomal RNA", at positions 28 to 507 of the family's 1533-position model. The record is from RNAcentral.